Molecule: unclassified non-coding RNA, 271 nt
Filed under: Phyllobacterium sp. OV277
Lineage: Bacteria; Pseudomonadati; Pseudomonadota; Alphaproteobacteria; Hyphomicrobiales; Phyllobacteriaceae
Description: Long range pseudoknot
Source: RNAcentral
AAGAUGAAGGCUAUCAAGCGCUUCUUUGAGGAAGGUGACAAGGUCAAGGUAACACUGCGGUUCCGUGGUCGUGAAAUGGCCCACCAGGAACUCGGAAUGCGACUGCUCGACCGGGUCAAGGAAGAUACGGUUGAGAUUUCCAAGGUCGAGGCUGAGCCACGGCUUGAAGGCCGUCAGAUGAUGAUGGUUCUGGCGCCGCGCUAAAACUGAACAUACUUUUUGACAAGAGCCGCCUUCGGGCGGCUUUUGUCUUGAACGAACUGGAUUCCAA